RNAcentral lists this long non-coding RNA (2669 nucleotides) under Homo sapiens (human). RNAcentral's name for it is "HSALNT0152838". The record is from RNAcentral. Lineage: Eukaryota; Metazoa; Chordata; Mammalia; Primates; Hominidae.
CUCUUCUCACAUGUGACUGACAAUCAUCAGUCAGCAUUGCUUGUACAAGUUACUGUUCUUUAAAGCUGGGGCAGGUGGGCCAAACGCCAAAAUUACCUAAACAGCUUGAACUCCUGGUGUUUUCCUCCAAGCCAGUGAAAUGGGAAUAAAAUCUGCUAUCAAGGGCUCCCCCUACAGGCACCAAAAAGCAAAGGCUAAAAAUUAAGGUGGGUGCCAUUUACGCCUAGUAGAGAAUUGUUUCUUCUCUUGAAAAAGUUUCUAAGGCAGUCCUGAAACCACAACUUUGCUUGUUGACACAAUCCCUUUUCCAAAACUCUGGCCAAAGAGUCUUAAAAAUCUAAAGGACCAAGAAUCAAGCAACCUCUUCCUCUUGAUGUACUCACCUCCCACUUAAUAAAGGACCAAAUGUGAUUUUGAUACAAAUAGGACACAAAACGACCCUAGAGCUGUAACACUAUUUUUGACAGUCAUAAUUAUGGCACUUUUGAGUUUUCUUGUAGCUCAUUUCCAUCUCAUUUUUAGGAUUAGUGUGUAUUUGUGUGUGUGUGUACAUGCGUGUGUGUACAUGCACGCACCAAAACAACUUCAAUUCCGGACAUAAAAUCAAUGACAGUUUUAAAACCACUUGAUGGAAGGUUUGAGGGAACUUUUAUCAUUUAUUUAUUUUGUGCUACAAAUCAGGUAUAUUUAAUUCUCUGGGUUCGUGGAAUGAGCUUGGAUGGUUGCCUGCUCUCAAAGGCUAAAAAAAAAAAAAGCUUGGAUGGAUAAAUAAAGUUUCCAAGACAUAAAGAAACAGACAGACAGACAGCUUGUUUCAAAUUUGUGCUUCUAUUUCUCUCUGAGGGAUGGAAGUUCACCAACCAGAGAUGCACAUUUCCUCACAAAGGACACUUGAAGUUGUGCCCACAGAGGCAAAUGCUCAUAUGGAGACUCAAGAAAGCCUGGGGUUCAGAAGAGGCUUGAGAUCAUGUUAUGAGAAACAGCUGAAGAAAACGGGGGUGCUCAGCCUAGGGAAGACCAAGGGGUGGUAUGACAGGCUAACUUGGGAGGGCAACCAGCCUGUGUGGCCUCUCUAGUGGGCAGAGCUGUCGGAGGACAGAGUGGAUCUCACGUUCAGGAAGAAUGUUUUAAUAAUGAGCACUGCCCAUAAAGAAUAAGCUGCACAGGUCAGGGGUAUAUACCUCAUUUAGGCAGGGCCUGGAAAGGCCAGAUAGUGGGAACAUUGAAGAGACUCAGGAACUGGCAGAAAACUGAGCCAGAUUAUAUUUAACAUCCUUUUUAUUAUUUUUGUGGGUUUUUUUUGAGACAGGGUCUCACUCUGUCGCCCAGGCUGGAGUGCAGUGGCACGAUCUCGGCUCACUGCAACCUCUGCCUCCCAGGUUCAAGCGAUUCUCCUGCCUUAGCCUCCCGAGUAGCUGGGAUUACAGGCAUGCGCCAUUACCACCCAGCUAAUUUUUGUAUUUUAAGUAGAGGUAGGGUUUCACCAUGUUGGCCAGGCUGAUCACGAACUCCUGACGUCAAAUGAUCCACCCGCCUCCGCCUCCCAGAGUGCUGGGAUUACAGGCAUGAGCCACUGCGCCCAGCCUAAAAUCCUUCUUAGCUCUAAAAUCCUGAGACUGUAUAAUAAAACCCCAAACAAUUUAAUAGUCCUCUUGUUAUAAGGCCGUUGGUUACCAUCCCCCAGAGUCAUUGUUAACAUAUUCUUACAACUGUUUCCUAUGUGGUACUACAGAGGAUCCAUGUAUAAUUACUGUAUUUCUAAAACUAUAAUACAAUAAUUUAUUUAUGUCUUACUUCUUCCAUUAACCAUGAUUGCAACAAGAACUACAUCUUGUCAUCUUAUUUUAUCACCAAAACCUAACCCAUAGGUUCUCAAUAAAUAGUUGCAAAGUGAGUAUAUUAAAAAACAGUAAUUAUAGGCCAGGCACGGUGGCUCACACCCGUAAUCCCAGCACUUUGGGAGGCUGAGGUGGGUGGAUCACGAGGUCAGGAAUUCGAGACCAGCCUGACCAACAUGGUCUCUACUAAAAAUACAAAAAUUAGCCAGGCAUGGUGGCGCACGCCUGUAAUCCCAGCUACUCAGGAGGCUGAGGCAGGAGAAUUGCUCGAACCUGGGAGGCAGAGAUUGCAGUGAGCCGAGAUCACGCCACUGCACUCCAGCCUGGGCGAAAGAGCAAGACUCCAUCUCAAAACAAAAACAAAAACAAAAAAACAGUAACAAUUUUCUUGAACUUCUGAGGGUGAUUUCCUUUUCUGAUACAAAGACAUCCAAAGAAAUCUCAGAGAGUCUCUAUUUUAGAAUCAGUAUUAAAUAUAUAUACAUAUAUAUAUGUGUGUGUGACUAUGUCACAAAGUCUCUGAAACACAUAAGUUUAAUCUCAAAAACUAUCUCUACUUGUUUUUUAUUUGUUAGUUUCCUGAUAUAGGUUUGAUUUGGAAUCAAAUAGAAAGGUCAGGCUUUUCCAGACAGACAGGAAAACCAAUAUGAAUUACUGAAUAGAUCCCCUCAACUAGAAAGUCUCUGCUGGAAUGAACUUUGUCUAAUUUUAUCAAGUGCACCAAGAACAGCUUCUUUCAGAAAUUAUCGAGACAGCAUCACCUUUUGAUUCUUUAAUAUCAACAGAUCAAAAAGCAUUUGGUGAUUUCUCUGUAUUUUAUAUCUCUUUGUU